This is a transfer RNA of Heterobasidion irregulare TC 32-1, 83 nucleotides long. It matches the Rfam family "tRNA". Rfam says of the family: Transfer RNA (tRNA) molecules are approximately 80 nucleotides in length. Lineage: Eukaryota; Fungi; Basidiomycota; Agaricomycetes; Russulales; Bondarzewiaceae. The record is from Rfam.
GCCCGCCUAGCUCAAUCGGAUAGAGCGUCAGACUCUUAUAGGCGGGUAUCUGAAGGCUGCGAGUUCGACCCUCGCGGUGGGCU